UACGUAGGGGGCUAGCGUUGUCCGGAAUCAUUGGGCGUAAAGAGCGUGUAGGCGGUCCGGUAAGUCCGCUGUGAAAGUCGGGGGCUCAACCCUCGAAUGCCGGUGGAUACUGUCGGGCUUGAGUACGGAAGAGGCGAGUGGAAUUCCUGGUGUAGCGGUGAAAUGCGCAGAUAUCAGGAGGAACACCAAUUGCGAAGGCAGCUCGCUGGGACGUUACUGACGCUGAGACGCGAAAGCGUGGGGAGCAAACAGG
This 253-nucleotide ribosomal RNA is filed under the name uncultured bacterium. RNAcentral describes it as "partial 16S ribosomal RNA". It matches the Rfam family "Bacterial small subunit ribosomal RNA", at positions 524 to 776 of the family's 1533-position model. The record is from RNAcentral.